Molecule: ribosomal RNA, 439 nt
Filed under: uncultured Bacteroidota bacterium
Lineage: Bacteria; Pseudomonadati; Bacteroidota
Description: bacterial SSU rRNA
Rfam family: Bacterial small subunit ribosomal RNA
Source: RNAcentral
GGGCCCGCACAAGCGGAGGAACAUGUGGUUUAAUUCGAUGAUACGCGAGGAACCUUACCCGGGCUUAAAUUAUAGUAGAAUAACCAGGAAACUGGUUAGCCGCAAGGCUGCUAUGAAGGUGCUGCAUGGUUGUCGUCAGCUCGUGCCGUGAGGUGUCGGCUUAAGUGCCAUAACGAGCGCAACCCUUAUCGUUAGUUACUAACAAGUUAUGUUGAGGACUCUAACGAGACUGCCGUCGUAAGAUGUGAGGAAGGUGGGGAUGACGUCAAAUCAGCACGGCCCUUACGUCCGGGGCUACACACGUGUUACAAUGGGGGGUACAGCAGGUUGCUACCUGGUGACAGGAUGCUAAUCUCCAAACCUCUCUCAGUUCGGAUCGAAGUCUGCAACCCGACUUCGUGAAGCUGGAUUCGCUAGUAAUCGCGCAUCAGCCACGGCG